ACAGGGAGGGGGGCGGUGAACCUCCAGGCUGGGAGAUCGACUUCAUUUUUGUUGCUUCAACUUGUCCUGAACGGUUAGACGAGGCGCGCUCGCGCUCACACACACCACGGGGAGUCCAGCCCUCGCUGGCUCGCCUCCCUGGCUGGACCGGCCGGCUCAGCGCCUUGCGCGCCCUUGGCCUGCCCGAAGGCCCAGGCGUCAGAGGGCUCCGGCGCCUGCCUCCGCCGUGCGUGCUUGGGGCGGCCCUGGCCCCAGAAGGGCCACCAGCUGAAUUUUCCCGGACUAGAUGGUCUUGAGCAACUCGGAGGUGUUGGUGAUGGAUACACUUAUCUCUGUAUAAGGAGGCCUUGGCUGUGGGCCUGGCAAAAUGAUGGUCAGCGCACUCAUUCAGCAGAUGUUUGCGGAGCACCUGCUAUGUUCUAGAAUGCGGGCCUGAAUGAGACAGUCAAGACCUCUGCCAACAUGGACCUUAUAGUCUCGUCGGAGAGACAACCGAGAAACAGCAAGCUGCCUCAAAAAUAUACAUCUGCAAGACAUUACAAAGGUUGGAAGGAAAAGUACGCCCAGCACCCAUGGGUGAGACCUCCCAACAGGUCUCACCUUGAUGGAAGUUGCAAAGUAUGGAAUGGGGAGGCCAUGGGAGUUGCCCUUUGUGGCCUGCUUCAGGCCGAGGAAGACGAGGUCUCUGCACUCCUCCGAAGGUCUCUAAUUCCUUCUGAAGCUGUUUUAUAGGUCUGGUUGCUGUACAGUCACUUGGAUGAUAGGUGUGCAAUUAAAUUUUCAAGAUGGCGGAUGCAGUGGGUUAAACUUCAUUUCCCCCAAAGAUGCGUCCGAGUCCUAAACCCUGGUAGCUGCGAAUGAAACUCAUCGAAGGAUGAGAUCAUCCUGGGUUAGAGUGGGUCUUAAAUCCAAUGACUGGUGUCCUGGUAAGAGACAGAUCAUGAGGAGACACAGGGAGAAGGCCACGUGAAGAUGGAAGCAGAGCUUGGAGGGAAGCGGCCACCAACCUUGGAGUACCAGCAGGCGCUGGAAGCUGGAGGAGGCGGGGAAU
Long non-coding RNA from Mustela erminea (ermine), 1051 nucleotides. RefSeq lists it as uncharacterized. The record is from RefSeq and is a predicted model, not a curated record. NCBI's taxonomy places the organism in Eukaryota, Metazoa, Chordata, Mammalia, Carnivora, Mustelidae. The transcript is spliced from 3 exons.